RNAcentral lists this long non-coding RNA (604 nucleotides) under Coturnix japonica (Japanese quail). RNAcentral's name for it is "lncRNA (ENSCJPG00005008793.1)". The record is from RNAcentral. Lineage: Eukaryota; Metazoa; Chordata; Aves; Galliformes; Phasianidae.
CAGGUGAAGUGAUGGCAGGGGACUACACCUGGGAAUCGCUGAGGAGAGACAAUGCUCACUCUGCUGCACUGCUUGAGGAGCUCAUAGAGUGUAAGAAGAGGUCUGCGGAGCUGGCAGACGCGGUCAAAGAACAGGAAAAAAUCCGCAAGUCACUGAGAGAAGAGGUGGAGCUGGAGAUGAAGAAACAUCACACAGCUCAAGAGAGCAUCAAAAGGCGUGUUGCCCCGAAGGAGGUGAGAUGCCGGAAGGAGCACAUAAGCUCCCUAAUGUAUGAAACUGUGGCUGCACGACUGGACGAGCAGACGGCAGCACAGAGGCGCCCACUCACUACCUGGCUGCGGCGAUUUCUGCUGUUCUUGGGCCUGCUGCAGCUUGUGUUCUUCAUCCUGGUCAUGCUGGACAGGGACACCCUCCACUGCGUCUUGCCUGUGGAGCUGGCAACUGCCCUUGGCAGCCGUCCACCAAAACCCAUUCUAUUCUGACCCCAGAACACACCAUGAUGGCCCUUCAUCAUGGCACCACUGGGGCCACACAAGCAUUAAAUGCAUCCCCCUUGUCACCAAAAACAUCAAUAAAAUCAACCCCAACCCCUAUAAAUGUGUCA